This 253-nucleotide ribosomal RNA is filed under the name uncultured bacterium. RNAcentral describes it as "partial 16S ribosomal RNA". It matches the Rfam family "Bacterial small subunit ribosomal RNA", at positions 524 to 776 of the family's 1533-position model. The record is from RNAcentral.
UACGUAGGGUCCAAGCGUUAUCCGGAAUCACUGGGCGUAAAGCGUGCGUAGGUGGCGUGUUAAGUGUGAUGUUAAAUCGUGGGGCUCAACCCUGUCGGUGCAUCACAUACUGGCAUGCUAGAGGGAAGCAGAGGCAAGUGGAAUUUGUAGUGUAGCAGUGAAAUGCGUAGAUAUUACAAGGAACACCAAUGGCGAAGGCAGCUUGCUGGGCUUCUUCUGACACUGAGGUACGAAAGCGUGGGGAGCGAACAGG